CAGUGACUAGUUUAACUAAAACAGCCGACUUCGACUCGACUAAACCCAAUAAAGAUAUGGGGUCACUUA
Molecule: transfer RNA, 69 nt
Filed under: Homonota fasciata (South American marked gecko)
Lineage: Eukaryota; Metazoa; Chordata; Lepidosauria; Squamata; Phyllodactylidae
Description: tRNA-Arg
Source: RNAcentral